GUGUAGCUUAGUUGGUAGAGCGAUUGACUGUAGUGUUCUAUACUGUGUUUCAGUAUUCUCGGAAACCAAUUGGUCGCUGGUUCGAUUCCGCAUUAAAUCA
This 100-nucleotide transfer RNA is filed under the name Phytophthora infestans (potato late blight agent). RNAcentral describes it as "tRNA-Tyr". Lineage: Eukaryota; Oomycota; Peronosporomycetes; Peronosporales; Peronosporaceae. The record is from RNAcentral.